Molecule: ribosomal RNA, 2897 nt
Filed under: Clostridioides difficile
Lineage: Bacteria; Bacillati; Bacillota; Clostridia; Peptostreptococcales; Peptostreptococcaceae
Description: 23S ribosomal RNA
Rfam family: Bacterial large subunit ribosomal RNA
Source: RNAcentral
GGUCAAGUUAUUAAGGGUGCAGGGCGGAUGCCUUGGCACUAGGAGCCGAUGAAGGACGUGAUAAGCUGCGAUAAGCUUCGGGGAGUUGCACGUAAACUUUGAUCCGAAGAUUUCCGAAUGAGGAAACUCACUUAGAGUAAUGUCUAAGUAUCAUUAAGUGAAUACAUAGCUUAAUGAGGGGAACUCAGGGAACUGAAACAUCUAAGUACCUGAAGGAAGAGAAAGAAAUUCGAUUCCGUAAGUAGCGGCGAGCGAACGCGGAUUAGCCCAAACCAAUAAAGUUUUCUUUAUUGGGGUUGCGGACAUAUCAUAACGAAGAGGUAUCGUAAUUGAAGAGGUUUGGAAAGACCCACCACAGAAGGUAAUAGUCCUGUAUGUUAAACGAGAAGACUUCAGAUAUGAUCCAGAGUACCACGGGACACGUGAAACCCUGUGGGAAGCAGGAGGGACCACCCUCCAAGGCUAAAUACUACCUAGUGACCGAUAGCGUAUAGUACCGUGAGGGAAAGGUGAAAAGAACCCCGGGAGGGAGUGAAAUAGAACCUGAAACCCUGCACUUACAAGCUGUGGAAGCACAUUUCUUGUGUGACCGCGUACUUUUUGUAGAACGGGCCAACGAGUUACGUUAAGUAGCAAGGUUAAGCACUUAAGGUGUGGAGCCGUAGCGAAAGCGAGUUUUAACUGAGCGUUCAGUUACUUGACGUAGACCCGAAACCGGGCGACCUACCCAUGAGCAGGAUGAAGCGAAAGUAAAAUUUCGUGGAGGUCCGAACCCACGAGCGUUGAAAAGCUCGGGGAUGACUUGUGGGUAGCGGUGAAAUUCCAAUCGAGCCCGGAGAUAGCUGGUUCUCCCCGAAAUAGCUUUAGGGCUAGCCUCAAGGUGAGAGAUACGGAGGUAGAGCACUGAAUGUCCUAGGGGGUAUUGCACCUACCGAAGACUAUCAAACUCCGAAUGCCGUCAUCUUAUACUUGGGAGUCAGACUGUGGGUGAUAAGAUUCAUAGUCGAAAGGGCAACAGCCCAGAUCGUCAGCUAAGGUCCCUAAAUGUAAGUUAAGUGGUAAAGGAUGUGGGAUUGCACAGACAACCAGGAUGUUGGCUUAGAAGCAGCCACUCAUUCAAAGAGUGCGUAAUAGCUCACUGGUCGAGUGAUCCUGCGCCGAAGAUUUCCGGGGCUAAAACUUACUACCGAAGCUACGGCAUCAGUAAUGAUGGGUAGGGGAGCUUCCCAUACGGGUUGAAGCAUGACCGUAAGGACAUGUGGACAGUAUGGGAGUGAGAAUGUUGGCAUGAGUAGCGAGAUGUGGGUGAGAAUCCCACAGGCCGUAAACCCAAGGUUUCCAGGGGAAGGUUCGUCCGCCCUGGGUUAGUCGGGACCUAAGCUGAGGCCGAAAGGCGUAGGUGAUGGACAACAGGUUGAUAUUCCUGUACUACCGAUAACCGUUUGAGAGAAGGGAUGACACAGUAGGAUAAGCUAAGCACACUGUUGGUUAUGUGUGCCCAAGCAUUGAGGCAGUCAAAGUAGGCAAAUCCGCUUUGAUAAUGCUGGGAUGUGAUGGGGAGCGAAAUUUAGUAGCGAAGUAGCUGAUUUCACACUGUCAAGAAAAGUCUCUAUCGAGGUUAAAGGUACCCGUACCGCAAACCGACACAGGUGGGUGAGGAGAGUAUCCUAAGGCCAGCGAGAGAACUGUUGUUAAGGAACUCGGCAAAAUGACCCCGUAACUUAGGGAUAAGGGGUGCCACCAUCAGGUGGCCGCAGAGAAUAGGCCCAAGCGACUGUUUACCAAAAACAUAGGUUUCUGCUAAGUCGCAAGACGAUGUAUAGGAGCUGACGCCUGCCCGGUGCUGGAAGGUUAAGGGGAUCUGUUAGAGCAAUCGAAGCAGUGAACUUAAGCCCCAGUAAACGGCGGCCGUAACUAUAACGGUCCUAAGGUAGCGAAAUUCCUUGUCGGGUAAGUUCCGACCCGCACGAAAGGCGUAACGAUUUGGGCACUGUCUCAACAACAGACUCGGUGAAAUUGUAAUUCCGGUGAAGAUGCCGGAUACCUGCGACAGGACGGAAAGACCCCAUGGAGCUUUACUGUAGCUUGACAUUGGGUCUUGGUACUACAUGUACAGGAUAGGUGGGAGGCUUUGAAACCAGGACGCCAGUUUUGGCGGAGCCAUCCUUGGGAUACCACCCUUGUAGUACUGGGACUCUAACCAUAGGCCAUGAAUCUGGUCUUGGGACACUGUCAGGUGGGCAGUUUGACUGGGGCGGUCGCCUCCCAAAAGGUAACGGAGGCGCUCAAAGGUUCUCUCAGUACGGUCGGAAAUCGUACGUAGAGUGUAAAGGCAAAAGAGAGCUUGAUUGCAAGACAUACAGGUCGAGCAAGGAUGAAAAUCGGACUUAGUGAUCCGGUGGUUCUGCGUGGAAGGGCCAUCGCUCAACGGAUAAAAGCUACCCUGGGGAUAACAGGCUUAUCUCCCCCAAGAGUCCACAUCGACGGGGAGGUUUGGCACCUCGAUGUCGGCUCAUCACAUCCUGGGGCUGUAGUAGGUCCCAAGGGUUGGGCUGUUCGCCCAUUAAAGUGGUACGCGAGCUGGGUUCAGAACGUCGUGAGACAGUUCGGUCCCUAUCCGUCGCAGGCGUAGGAAAUUUGAGAAGACCUGUCCUUAGUACGAGAGGACCGGGAUGGACGUACCUCUGGUGUACCAGUUGUUCUGCCAAGGGCAUGGCUGGGUAGCUAUGUACGGAAUGGAUAAGCGCUGAAAGCAUCUAAGCGCGAAGCCAACUUCAAGAUAAGAUUUCCCACCGCAAGGGUAAGACCCCAGAAAGACUAUCUGGUUGAUAGGUCGAAGGUGUAAGUGCAGCAAUGUAUUUAGCUUAUCGAUACUAAUAGGUCGAGGACUUGACCAA